UACGGGGGGAGCAAGCGUUGUUCGGAUUUACUGGGCGUAAAGGGCGCGUAGGCGGUUCGCUAAGUUGGAUGUGAAAUCUUGCGGCUUAACCGCAAGGCUGCCUUCUAAACUGUCAGGCUAGAGCACAGUAGAGGCAGGUGGAAUUCCCGGUGUAGCGGUGGAAUGCGUAGAGAUCGGGAAGAACAUCAGUGGCGAAGGCGGCCUGCUGGGCUGUUGCUGACGCUGAGGCGCGACAGCGUGGGGAGCAAACAGG
This 253-nucleotide ribosomal RNA is filed under the name uncultured bacterium. RNAcentral describes it as "partial 16S ribosomal RNA". It matches the Rfam family "Bacterial small subunit ribosomal RNA", at positions 524 to 776 of the family's 1533-position model. The record is from RNAcentral.